GGUGAGUAACGCGUGGGUAACCUGCCCCAUACACAGGGAUAGCCAUUGGAAACGAUGAUUAAUACCUGAUAAUACUAAGAGGUCACAUGUUCUCUUAGUCAAAGAUUUAUCGGUAUGGGAUGGACCCGCGUCUGAUUAGCUAGUUGGUAAGGUAACGGCUUACCAAGGCGACGAUCAGUAGCCGACCUGAGAGGGUGAUCGGCCACACUGGAACUGAGACACGGUCCAGACUCCUACGGGAGGCAGCAGUGGGGAAUAUUGCACAAUGGGCGCAAGCCUGAUGCAGCAACGCCGCGUGAACGAAGAAGGCCUUCGGGUCGUAAAAUUCUUUUCUUAGGGAAGAAAAAUGACGGUACCUAAGGAAUAAGCACCGGCUAAAUACGUGCCAGCAGCCGCGGUAAUACGUAUGGUGCAAGCGUUAUCCGGAAUCACUGGGCGUAAAGGGUACGUAGGCGGUUUUGCAAGUCAGAAGUGAAAGGCUACGGCUCAA
This 490-nucleotide ribosomal RNA is filed under the name uncultured Bacillota bacterium. RNAcentral's name for it is "bacterial SSU rRNA". It matches the Rfam family "Bacterial small subunit ribosomal RNA", at positions 105 to 612 of the family's 1533-position model. Lineage: Bacteria; Bacillati; Bacillota. The record is from RNAcentral.